CACAGACUGUGAGAUCAUGACCUGAGCCGAAGCCGGACGCUCCUCCGACUGAGCCCCCAGGCGCCCCCAACUGGAUCUGUUUCGACAGAGGCAUGAACUUAUGGAGCCAUCACCACGUUCAGGAUCGCUCAGCUCGCACCCUCCGCCUCACGCUGCCCCCCACACACACAGAGCACCUGCCAACCCACGAGCUGUCCGUUGCCACAGCCCAUUGACCAGUCCUUGACACACGCAGAGUGACCUUCCUCCAGGAGCUCGGCAGCCUCAGUACUAAUACUUUGCCAGAGGCAAAACGCAACCUUAGCACGACAGGAGCUCCGCCUCCAGGAUCCCGUAAGUUCCUGAUCAUGUAAAAAUCUCUGGAAACUUCCUUUAUCUCUCCCCCCGCCCCCAAGAUAUGUUAGCAAUCAUCGUCCAAAUUUACAGCUCCCCAUUGUACACCUGAGGGGUCGCAUGCCUAACACUUCACUAGACAACAGUAAGGACCUUCACAGCCGCUGGCCUCCUCAAGGCCCGGAAACCUUGCUUCCAAAAUUCCUCGGAGACUUAGGCUGUCCCGGACCCCCUUCCAGCCUGGAGCUGUGUGAUCAGCCACCUGCCAUGGCCGCGGGCCGCUCUUCCUGCCCGCAGUCCGGUCCCCGCGCUUUGGGAACACCGCCUGUUGGCGCUGAAGAAAGACAUCUGGAGAAUUCUUUCUCCACUGUCGACUGUCAGCUCGACUGUCAGCUCGGCUCGAACCCCACCGCUUCGAACCACGGCAGUUACUGCGCAUGCGCGUUCUGAUCAGGCCUCGGCUGGGAGUUCGCAGCUCUCUCUGGUACUCUGGCCUCAAACCUCUCGCCACCACGGGCACCCCAAAUUCUGAACUCUGCCCUUCAAGUCAGGGUUACUGCCUCGCUUUAUUGGGCUCCUCGUCCCUCUCCUGCAGCCUGGAAAAUUCCUCCGGAGGAGCCUGGGCUGACUGUGGAGCUCCCUGGGUUGUUUUGGUCUUUCAGGGAUCACUGUUCCCCGCUCCCCGAAAGCUGGGUUCGUAUUCUGCCCAGUUCUUUCGACACAGCAGACCCUGGAGCCCUAAGUGGAAGUCGGUAUUAUUCAUUUUAGUCUGCGGUAAGCUAGGCAGACCCGUUGUGAUUUCUUGUGAGUUGACUAAAAAAAGCAGAGUAACUUUUAUUUUUAAAAAUUUAUUGAUUGACAACUUUUAAACUAAUGUAUGUGCUGAUAAAACGAAUGAUGAGGAACAAUCAAUUCAAAAAAAAGACACAAAAGGAAGGAACAAAUAUAUCAAUGAUUUUUAUUCAAUGAUAAUGUACAGAAUAUUCCAGUUAACAAAGAUUUUAUUUUUUGAAUAAAAUCAAUGCAACACAUCUGUAUGCUGUUUAUGUGAGACACAACUACAUGAUAAGGACACAAAGAAAGGCUAAAAAUAAAAAGAGUGGAUAAAAGGCA
Molecule: long non-coding RNA, 1446 nt
Organism: Suricata suricatta (meerkat)
Lineage: Eukaryota; Metazoa; Chordata; Mammalia; Carnivora; Herpestidae
Exons: 2
Source: RefSeq, a predicted model, not a curated record